UACAGAGGUCUCAAGCGUUGUUCGGAUUCAUUGGGCGUAAAGGGUGCGUAGGCGGCGCGGUAAGUCGGGUGUGAAAUCUUGGAGCUUAACUCCGAAACUGCAUUCGAUACUGCCGUGCUUGAGGACUGGAGAGGAGACUGGAAUUUACGGUGUAGCGGUGAAAUGCGUAGAUAUCGUAAGGAAGACCAGUGGCGAAGGCGGGUCUCUGGUCAGUUCCUGACGCUGAAGCACGAAGGCCAGGGGAGCAAACGGG
RNAcentral lists this ribosomal RNA (253 nucleotides) under uncultured bacterium. RNAcentral describes it as "partial 16S ribosomal RNA". It matches the Rfam family "Bacterial small subunit ribosomal RNA", at positions 524 to 776 of the family's 1533-position model. The record is from RNAcentral.